AUCCUUUUGUAGUUCAUAAGUGUGAUGAAUGGGUGUGAGAUGUACCUCCCUUAAGCCUUGUUCUGACCACAUCACCAGAUUACUGAUG
Otolemur garnettii (small-eared galago) is the source of this 88-nucleotide small nucleolar RNA. NCBI's taxonomy places the organism in Eukaryota, Metazoa, Chordata, Mammalia, Primates, Galagidae. The record is from Ensembl.